GAUUGGACUGAAGGGAGCU
Molecule: small nuclear RNA, 19 nt
Filed under: Arabidopsis thaliana (thale cress)
Lineage: Eukaryota; Viridiplantae; Streptophyta; Magnoliopsida; Brassicales; Brassicaceae
Description: snRNA_02573
Source: RNAcentral